AGAGUUUGAUCAUGGCUCAGGACGAACGCUGGCGGCGUGCUUAACACAUGCAAGUCGAACGGAAAGGUCUCUUCGGAGAUACUCGAGUGGCGAACGGGUGAGUAACACGUGGGUAAUCUGCCCUGCACUUCGGGAUAAGCCUGGGAAACUGGGUCUAAUACCGAAUAGGACCAUAAGGCGCAUGCCUAUUGGUGGAAAGCUUUUGCGGUGUGGGAUGGGCCCGCGGCCUAUCAGCUUGUUGGUGGGGUGACGGCCUACCAAGGCGACGACGGGUAGCCGGCCUGAGAGGGUGUCCGGCCACACUGGGACUGAGAUACGGCCCAGACUCCUACGGGAGGCAGCAGUGGGGAAUAUUGCACAAUGGGCGCAAGCCUGAUGCAGCGACGCCGCGUGGGGGAUGACGGCCUUCGGGUUGUAAACCUCUUUCACCAUCGACGAAGGUCCGGGUUUUCUCGAUUGACGGUAGGUGGAGAAGAAGCACCGGCCAACUACGUGCCAGCAGCCGCGGUAAUACGUAGGGUGCGAGCGUUGUCCGGAAUUACUGGGCGUAAAGAGCUCGUAGGUGGUUUGUCGCGUUGUUCGUGAAAUCUCACGGCUUAACUGUGAGCGUGCGGGCGAUACGGGCAGACUGGAGUACUGCAGGGGAGACUGGAAUUCCUGGUGUAGCGGGAAUGCGCAGAUAUCAGGAGGAACACCGGUGGCGAAGGCGGGUCUCUGGGCAGUAACUGACACUGAGGAGCGAAAGCGUGGGGAGCGAACAGGAUUAGAUACCCUAGUAGUCC
RNAcentral lists this ribosomal RNA (782 nucleotides) under uncultured bacterium. RNAcentral describes it as "bacterial SSU rRNA". It matches the Rfam family "Bacterial small subunit ribosomal RNA", at positions 8 to 796 of the family's 1533-position model. The record is from RNAcentral.